This 2904-nucleotide ribosomal RNA is filed under the name Enterobacter hormaechei. Its description in RNAcentral is "23S ribosomal RNA". It matches the Rfam family "Bacterial large subunit ribosomal RNA". The record is from RNAcentral. Lineage: Bacteria; Pseudomonadati; Pseudomonadota; Gammaproteobacteria; Enterobacterales; Enterobacteriaceae.
GGUUAAGCGACUAAGCGUACACGGUGGAUGCCCUGGCAGUCAGAGGCGAUGAAGGACGUGCUAAUCUGCGAAAAGCGCCGGCGAGGUGAUAUGAACCCUUGACCCGGCGAUGUCCGAAUGGGGAAACCCAGUGCAAUCCGUUGCACUAUCGUUAACUGAAUACAUAGGUUAACGAGGCGAACCGGGGGAACUGAAACAUCUAAGUACCCCGAGGAAAAGAAAUCAACCGAGAUUCCCCCAGUAGCGGCGAGCGAACGGGGAGCAGCCCGGAGUCUGAAUCAGCUUGUGUGUUAGUGGAACGGUCUGGAAAGUCCGACGGUACAGGGUGAUAGUCCCGUACACGAAAAUGCACAGGUUGUGAACUCGAAGAGUAGGGCGGGACACGUGGUAUCCUGUCUGAAUAUGGGGGGACCAUCCUCCAAGGCUAAAUACUCCUGACUGACCGAUAGUGAACCAGUACCGUGAGGGAAAGGCGAAAAGAACCCCGGCGAGGGGAGUGAAAAAGAACCUGAAACCGUGUACGUACAAGCAGUGGGAGCCUCUUUAUGGGGUGACUGCGUACCUUUUGUAUAAUGGGUCAGCGACUUAUAUUCUGUAGCAAGGUUAACCGUAUAGGGGAGCCGAAGGGAAACCGAGUCUUAACUGGGCGUUAAGUUGCAGGGUAUAGACCCGAAACCCGGUGAUCUAGCCAUGGGCAGGUUGAAGGUUGGGUAACACUAACUGGAGGACCGAACCGACUAAUGUUGAAAAAUUAGCGGAUGACCUGUGGCUGGGGGUGAAAGGCCAAUCAAACCGGGAGAUAGCUGGUUCUCCCCGAAAGCUAUUUAGGUAGCGCCUCGUGAAUUCAUCUUCGGGGGUAGAGCACUGUUUCGGCUAGGGGGCCAUCCCGGCUUACCAACCCGAUGCAAACUACGAAUACCGAAGAAUGUUAUCACGGGAGACACACGGCGGGUGCUAACGUCCGUCGUGAAGAGGGAAACAACCCAGACCGCCAGCUAAGGUCCCAAAGUCAUGGUUAAGUGGGAAACGAUGUGGGAAGGCACAGACAGCCAGGAUGUUGGCUUAGAAGCAGCCAUCAUUUAAAGAAAGCGUAAUAGCUCACUGGUCGAGUCGGCCUGCGCGGAAGAUGUAACGGGGCUAAACCAUGCACCGAAGCUGCGGCAGCGACACUAUGUGUUGUUGGGUAGGGGAGCGUUCUGUAAGCCGUUGAAGGUGUGCUGUGAGGCAUGCUGGAGGUAUCAGAAGUGCGAAUGCUGACAUAAGUAACGAUAAAGCGGGUGAAAAGCCCGCUCGCCGGAAGACCAAGGGUUCCUGUCCAACGUUAAUCGGGGCAGGGUGAGUCGACCCCUAAGGCGAGGCCGAAAGGCGUAGUCGAUGGGAAACAGGUUAAUAUUCCUGUACUUGGUGUUACUGCGAAGGGGGGACGGAGAAGGCUAUGUCAGCCGGGCGACGGUUGUCCCGGUUUAAGCAUGUAGGCGGAGGUUCCAGGUAAAUCCGGUACCUUUUAACGCUGAGGUGUGAUGACGAGGCACUACGGUGCUGAAGUGAUAAAUGCCCUGCUUCCAGGAAAAGCCUCUAAGCAUCAGGUAACACGAAAUCGUACCCCAAACCGACACAGGUGGUCAGGUAGAGAAUACCAAGGCGCUUGAGAGAACUCGGGUGAAGGAACUAGGCAAAAUGGUGCCGUAACUUCGGGAGAAGGCACGCUGAUGUGUAGGUGAAGCCCCUGCGGGCGGAGCUGAAAUCAGUCGAAGAUACCAGCUGGCUGCAACUGUUUAUUAAAAACACAGCACUGUGCAAACACGAAAGUGGACGUAUACGGUGUGACGCCUGCCCGGUGCCGGAAGGUUAAUUGAUGGGGUUAGCGGCAACGCGAAGCUCUUGAUCGAAGCCCCGGUAAACGGCGGCCGUAACUAUAACGGUCCUAAGGUAGCGAAAUUCCUUGUCGGGUAAGUUCCGACCUGCACGAAUGGCGUAAUGAUGGCCAGGCUGUCUCCACCCGAGACUCAGUGAAAUUGAACUCGCUGUGAAGAUGCAGUGUACCCGCGGCAAGACGGAAAGACCCCGUGAACCUUUACUAUAGCUUGACACUGAACACUGGUCCUUGAUGUGUAGGAUAGGUGGGAGGCUUUGAAGCGUGGACGCCAGUCUGCGUGGAGCCAACCUUGAAAUACCACCCUUUAAUGGCUGGUGUUCUAACGUGGACCCGUUACCCGGGUUGCGGACAGUGUCUGGUGGGUAGUUUGACUGGGGCGGUCUCCUCCCAAAGAGUAACGGAGGAGCACGAAGGUUGGCUAAUCCUGGUCGGACAUCAGGAGGUUAGUGCAAUGGCAUAAGCCAGCUUGACUGCGAGCGUGACGGCGCGAGCAGGUGCGAAAGCAGGUCAUAGUGAUCCGGUGGUUCUGAAUGGAAGGGCCAUCGCUCAACGGAUAAAAGGUACUCCGGGGAUAACAGGCUGAUACCGCCCAAGAGUUCAUAUCGACGGCGGUGUUUGGCACCUCGAUGUCGGCUCAUCACAUCCUGGGGCUGAAGUAGGUCCCAAGGGUAUGGCUGUUCGCCAUUUAAAGUGGUACGCGAGCUGGGUUUAGAACGUCGUGAGACAGUUCGGUCCCUAUCUGCCGUGGGCGCUGGAGAAUUGAGGGGGGCUGCUCCUAGUACGAGAGGACCGGAGUGGACGCAUCACUGGUGUUCGGGUUGUCAUGCCAAUGGCACUGCCCGGUAGCUAAAUGCGGAAGAGAUAAGUGCUGAAAGCAUCUAAGCACGAAACUUGCCCCGAGAUGAGUUCUCCCUGAGACUUUAAGUCUCCUGAAGGAACGUUGAAGACGACGACGUUGAUAGGUCGGGUGUGUAAGCGCAGCGAUGCGUUGAGCUAACCGAUACUAAUGAACCGUGAGGCUUAACCUU